CUCUCUGUAGCUCAGUUGGUUAGAGCGCUGCACCGGAAUCGCAGGGCCGCAGGUUCAAUUCCUUCCAGAGGGC
This 73-nucleotide transfer RNA is filed under the name Paramuricea clavata. It matches the Rfam family "tRNA". Rfam says of the family: Transfer RNA (tRNA) molecules are approximately 80 nucleotides in length. The record is from Rfam by way of RNAcentral. Lineage: Eukaryota; Metazoa; Cnidaria; Anthozoa; Malacalcyonacea; Plexauridae.